RNAcentral lists this long non-coding RNA (335 nucleotides) under Phoenix dactylifera (date palm). RNAcentral describes it as "long non-coding RNA (PDAC_LNC021959)". The record is from RNAcentral. Lineage: Eukaryota; Viridiplantae; Streptophyta; Magnoliopsida; Arecales; Arecaceae.
UUUAAAACAAACAAAAUUUUUUUGUUCGAUUCACAGAAAAUCCCUCAAUCCAUAUUCUCCUUGAACAGGUCAUGUGCCCCGCACUACCUCGUCCGUGUAUAACCGUUCCUGAAACCAUUUUAACUGACACCACGUUCUCCACUUGCACAGCGACUGAAACUACACCGUAACGGUUACUUCCUACCUCAUAUAACCUCUUUUUUUCUUUUCCUCUCUCUCUCUCUCUCUCUCAAAUCCCUCAUUUUCGUUCCCUCACAAGGCUGGAGCUUUUCAUCCCUCGACCAAAGGAAUUCAAGAAGAGAUGGCUUCAUCCAUCCGCUUUUUGUGCAUCAUCA